UGCGUAGGUCCCGAGCGUUGUCCGGAUUUAUUGGGCGUAAAGCGAGCGCAGGUGGUUUAUUAAGUCUGGUGUAAAAGGCAGUGGCUCAACCAUUGUAUGCAUUGGAAACUGGUAGACUUGAGUGCAGGAGAGGAGAGUGGAAUUCCAUGUGUAGCAGUGAAAUGCGUAGAUAUAUGGAGGAACACCGGUGGCGAAAGCGGCUCUCUGGCCUGUAACUGACACUGAGGCUCGAAAGCGUGGGGAGCAAACAGG
RNAcentral lists this ribosomal RNA (252 nucleotides) under uncultured bacterium. RNAcentral's name for it is "partial 16S ribosomal RNA". It matches the Rfam family "Bacterial small subunit ribosomal RNA", at positions 524 to 776 of the family's 1533-position model. The record is from RNAcentral.